ACAUACGACCAUAGGGUGUGGAAAACAGGGCUUCCCGUCCGCUCAGCCGUACUUAAGCCACACGCCGGGAGGUUAGUAGUUGGGUGGGUGACCACCAGCGAAUCCCUCCUGUUGUAUGUA
This 120-nucleotide ribosomal RNA is filed under the name Aspergillus tamarii. The record is from RNAcentral. RNAcentral also lists the same sequence under 1 other name. Lineage: Eukaryota; Fungi; Ascomycota; Eurotiomycetes; Eurotiales; Aspergillaceae.